UCAAAUACUUGUCAUGGCCAAUUCCACGAUGAAAGAGGUGGUUUGCACAAAGAGAGGCUUGUCAGUGCAUUCAGGCUGUGCUGAAUUUAGCAAAUUCCCCAAAUGAGGGAAUCUUGACUGCAUAAUUUCUGACAGUGGGGGACUGCGUUCAUGCUCUCCCCUG
Tachysurus vachellii is the source of this 163-nucleotide small nuclear RNA. RefSeq annotates it as U1 spliceosomal RNA. The transcript has a single exon. NCBI's taxonomy places the organism in Eukaryota, Metazoa, Chordata, Actinopteri, Siluriformes, Bagridae. The record is from RefSeq and is a predicted model, not a curated record.